ACGCACGCUGGCGGCGUGCCUAAUCCAUGCAAGUUGAGCGCUGAAGGUUGGUACUUGUACCAACUGGAUGAGCAGCGAACGGGUGAGUAACGCGUGGGGAAUCUGCCUUUGAGCGGGGGACAACAUUUGGAAACGAAUGCUAAUACCGCAUAAAAACUUUAAACACAAGUUUUAAGUUUGAAAGAUGCAAUUGCAUCACUCAAAGAUGAUCCCGCGUUGUAUUAGCUAGUUGGUGAGGUAAAGGCUCACCAAGGCGAUGAUACAUAGCCGACCUGAGAGGGUGAUCGGCCACAUUGGGACUGAGACACGGCCCAAACUCCUACGGGAGGCAGCAGUAGGGAAUCUUCGGCAAUGGACGAAAGUCUGACCGAGCAACGCCGCGUGAGUGAAGAAGGGUGUCGGAUCGUAAAACUCUGUUGGUAGAGAAGAACGUUGGUGAGAGUGGAAAGCUCAUCAAGUGACGGUAACUACCCAGAAAGGGACGGCUAACUACGUG
RNAcentral lists this ribosomal RNA (496 nucleotides) under uncultured bacterium. RNAcentral's name for it is "partial 16S ribosomal RNA". It matches the Rfam family "Bacterial small subunit ribosomal RNA", at positions 29 to 507 of the family's 1533-position model. The record is from RNAcentral.